This 327-nucleotide long non-coding RNA is filed under the name Homo sapiens (human). RNAcentral describes it as "HSALNT0172339". The record is from RNAcentral. Lineage: Eukaryota; Metazoa; Chordata; Mammalia; Primates; Hominidae.
GGGCAAGCUGCAUUCUGAGAGGUCAGGGCCGAUUGCAGGGAAGGGUCGGCAGAAGGGCAGCACGAGGACAUCAUCUCAUCCAAGAGGUUAAAGCCCUGAAAAGAGAGACUGGGCCCUUUCUGAAGAGAGAGAUUCUGUUGCUGGCUUUGAAGAAGCAAGCUACCACAAAUUCUACAGCUACAAGAAAAUAAAUUCUGCCAAGAACCAUGUGCACUUGGACAAGAACCCUGAGACCAAAGCCCCAGCCAACACUUUGUGAGACCCUGACCAGGGCACCCAGCUAAGUUGUGCUUAGACUACAGAAACCUGACCCAUGCAAGCUGUGAG